Molecule: ribosomal RNA, 256 nt
Filed under: uncultured bacterium
Lineage: Bacteria
Description: partial 16S ribosomal RNA
Rfam family: Bacterial small subunit ribosomal RNA
Source: RNAcentral
UAAUACAGGGGGUGCAAGCGUUACUCGGAAUCAUUGGGCGUAAAGAGCGUGUAGGCUGUCUAUUAAGUUUGGUGUGAAAUCCCUGGGCCCAAUCCGGGAAGUGCAUUGAAUACUGAUAGACUAGAGUAUGGGAGGGGUGAGUGGAAUUCCUGGUGUAGAGGUGAAAUUCGUAGAUAUCAGGAGGAACAACAGUGGCGAAGGCGACUCACUGGACCAUUACUGACGCUAAGGCGCGAAAGCGUGGGGAGCAAACAGG